This 24-nucleotide non-coding RNA is filed under the name Arabidopsis thaliana (thale cress). Lineage: Eukaryota; Viridiplantae; Streptophyta; Magnoliopsida; Brassicales; Brassicaceae. The record is from RNAcentral.
CUACAACGACAUGAUAGUGCUUUA